RNAcentral lists this ribosomal RNA (392 nucleotides) under Escherichia coli. RNAcentral's name for it is "bacterial SSU rRNA". It matches the Rfam family "Bacterial small subunit ribosomal RNA", at positions 856 to 1248 of the family's 1533-position model. The record is from RNAcentral. Lineage: Bacteria; Pseudomonadati; Pseudomonadota; Gammaproteobacteria; Enterobacterales; Enterobacteriaceae.
CGCGUUAAGUCGACCGCCUGGGGAGUACGGCCGCAAGGUUAAAACUCAAAUGAAUUGACGGGGGCCCGCACAAGCGGUGGAGCAUGUGGUUUAAUUCGAUGCAACGCGAAGAACCUUACCUGGUCUUGACAUCCACGGAAGUUUUCAGAGAUGAGAAUGUGCCUUCGGGAACCGUGAGACAGGUGCUGCAUGGCUGUCGUCAGCUCGUGUUGUGAAAUGUUGGGUUAAGUCCCGCAACGAGCGCAACCCUUAUCCUUUGUUGCCAGCGGUCCGGCCGGGAACUCAAAGGAGACUGCCAGUGAUAAACUGGAGGAAGGUGGGGAUGACGUCAAGUCAUCAUGGCCCUUACGACCAGGGCUACACACGUGCUACAAUGGCGCAUACAAAGAGAA